UAGAGAACACUAGCAAUGAGAUUUUUGUGGCUUGUGAUUUAAUCAUUUGUAUGAUGCAUAUAUUCAGUUGUUGCAAGUACUCCAGGAUCCUGACUUGCUGCAUGCGCGGAAAGAACGACAGCAGCAUCAACAACGGAGUAUAGAUUUGAAAGAGCAGCAGCAGCAGACGCAAAGCGGAGGUCAAGAUGUUCAGAAUGGUGUGAACUCAACACCGGGCAUGGUGAAUGGACUAAACCCAGCAACAGCUGCCGCCUACAUGAUCAACGGGGAACAAGGCAUGGAAAUGCUGCCUCAGCUCGAGAAUGGUGUUGGUGCUGCAGGAUCUGCUGGUUCAACGCCACCGCCCGGUAUUUCUAAUCUCGGUCUGCAUAAUGGUUCGGCUAUGUACAACAACUUGCCGAACAAUGGCAUGCUCCCUUCUGGUGGCAAUCACAACGGUUCAGCUACUCCUGAUUGUGGUACACAUGGUAGUAGUCCUGGCCUGAUUUCCAACGCUACAGUUCCUACAGGUCAUAUUUCUGCUGGCAAUAGGAAACGGCGAUGUACCGCCCAAUCCAUGGUCAACAAUGAGGCCAGUUCGUGGCAAGCUGAUCCAAAUGUGGCAAAUCAGCGCCGGGAUAUAAUCUACAAAUUGUGAGUUCUGUUUCCAUAGUCCGGUUUGCGUGUGCUUGACGAAGCGUUCACAUAUAUUUUAAUACUAGUUACUAGUUGCAUUGCCUUGUAAUACUGGUCUGAUAUCAGGCUGAAGAAGCGUCAACACUGAAUACCAGGCGCACUUGUC
Molecule: long non-coding RNA, 781 nt
Organism: Sycon ciliatum
Lineage: Eukaryota; Metazoa; Porifera; Calcarea; Leucosolenida; Sycettidae
Exons: 3
Source: RefSeq, a predicted model, not a curated record